AUUGAACGCUGGCGGCAUGCCUUACACAUGCAAGUCGAACGGUAACAGGUCUUCGGAGGCUGACGCGCGGCGGACGGGCGAGUAAUACAUCGGAACGUGCCCGAUCGUGGGGGAUAACGAGGCUAAAGCUUAGCUAAUACCGCAUACGAUCGACGGAUCAAAUCGGGGGAGCUUCGGACCUCGCGUGGACGGAGCGGGCGGUGGCCGUUUAGGUAGUUCGUGGGAGUAACGCUUUCCACGCCGACGGUCUGUACGUGGUCUGGGCGGCGGAUCAGCCACACUUGGACUGAGACACGGCCCUGGCUCCUACGGGAGGCCGCAGUGGGGAACUUUGGGCAAUAGGCGAAAGCCUUAUCCAGCCAUGCCGCGUGCAAGAUGGAGGCCUUCGGGUUGUAAACUGCUUUUGUACGGAACGAAAAGCCUCUUUCUAAUAAAGAGGGGUCAUGACGGUACCGUAAGAAUAAGCACCGGCUAACUACGUG
RNAcentral lists this ribosomal RNA (482 nucleotides) under uncultured bacterium. RNAcentral describes it as "partial 16S ribosomal RNA". It matches the Rfam family "Bacterial small subunit ribosomal RNA", at positions 30 to 507 of the family's 1533-position model. The record is from RNAcentral.